UACGUAGGGUGCAAGCGUUGUCCGGAAUUAUUGGGCGUAAAGGGCUCGUAGGCGGCCUGUCGCGUCGGGAGUGAAAACUCAGGGCUUAACCCUGAGCCUGCUUCCGAUACGGGCAGACUAGAGGUAUGCAGGGGAGAAUGGAAUUCCUGGUGUAGCGGUGAAAUGCGCAGAUAUCAGGAGGAACACCGGUGGCGAAGGCGGUUCUCUGGGCAUUACCUGACGCUGAGGAGCGAAAGUGUGGGGAGCGAACAGG
Molecule: ribosomal RNA, 253 nt
Filed under: uncultured bacterium
Lineage: Bacteria
Description: partial 16S ribosomal RNA
Rfam family: Bacterial small subunit ribosomal RNA
Source: RNAcentral